This is a long non-coding RNA of Oncorhynchus gorbuscha (pink salmon), 1208 nucleotides long. RefSeq lists it as uncharacterized. The transcript has 3 exons. NCBI's taxonomy places the organism in Eukaryota, Metazoa, Chordata, Actinopteri, Salmoniformes, Salmonidae. The record is from RefSeq and is a predicted model, not a curated record.
AUUUCUACCUCUGCCCAGUGAGCGCUUCCUGCCCAGGACCAGCUGGCUUGUUAGUGGAUUGGAAUGGACAAUAGAAUAUGGAGACCAAGCUCGAUCCCAGAUCUUUUAUGCAGUCGGUGUGACAAUGACCACGCGGAUUUGGUAAGAUGGCACCAACGGAUAUGGGAUCAGGCUAAUGGAAACCCACUGUACCCACAUUCAGCUGGUCGUCUACCUGCCAUUCCGAGAGGUGCAGCUGGAGUUGGUGGAGCCAGCUAAGUGCAAGUAUGUUCUCCAGACCCUGAGACCCCCACAGCAGGCCCGCUGUGUGCUGGACUAGAGAGAGAGAGAGGCAGGACUCUGGGGGUCCUCUGAUCUACCCCAGAGAGGAUGGCCACUGGGCCAUGGUGGGGGUCACCUCCUGGGGGAAGGCUGUGGCCGGAACCGGAUCAACAACACGGCCGAGUCCCCAGCCAAGAUAGGAUCCCCGGGGGUCUUUACAGAUGUCAAGAUGCUCCUGCCCUGGAUCGAGAGGAAACUCGGAAGGUCAUCUAACACGUUUUAGUCAGUGUGAGCCAUGCAGGUCUGGAUUUGUUUAAUUAAUUGGUUUAACAGAUGCUCUAACAAAUUGUUUGGUUUUGUUCAUCAGCAGACGCUUCUUCUCAUCAUUUCCACACUGCAUUUACUUGCAUUUUGAAAACUUUUGAAACUGCGCCCACAUCCUCUUUGUCAUCUGAUUAGCUACUACAUUUCUAUUUACACAAUAGCUCACUUAUGCAAUUUGUACAAUGAACCUUUACUGUAUGAUGUGACUGUCGUCUUUGAACAGUGCAUUUGAUGCUGAUUGUGUGUGUACUGUGCUGCAGGACUUUGCAGUGAGGGAUAGGCCUGUGAGGGUCUCAAACCCAAACCUUACAGUCUGUCUCGACAACAACGAGUGGGUGUCAGUGAACAGGCCCGUUGCAUAGGGGGGAGAGCUGUGCUGAAUUGAAUGCUCUCAUUGAAUGCACUUGAAUUAAAUACGCUUUUAGGCCAAUUUACUCACCACUUGACAGCUGUCAUGGGCAGCAGGUAUCCAAGCUGUUAGACAGGCGAGCAGGCAGCCAGCGGGUUGCUGUUAUCAAAUCCUAGAUUCCAUUGCCUCUGUUGUGCCCUUGAGCAAGGCACUUAAUGCCUCACAACAACAGCCCCCUGGGCACCCAGUGUGGAAGCCCACCCCCACACCUCUC